Molecule: ribosomal RNA, 146 nt
Filed under: uncultured bacterium
Lineage: Bacteria
Description: partial 16S ribosomal RNA
Rfam family: Bacterial small subunit ribosomal RNA
Source: RNAcentral
UAGGGAAUUUUGCGCAAUGGACGAAAGUCUGACGCAGCAGCGCCGCGUGAGGGAUGAAGGUCUUCGGAUUGUAAACCUCUGUUGGAUGGGAAAAAAGGUAGCAAUAUUUGAUGGUACCAUUCGAGUAAGCACCGGCUAACUACGUG